GACGAACGCUGGCGGCGUGCCUAAUACAUGCAAGUUGAGCGAUGAAGAUUGGUGCUUGCACCAAUUUGAAGAGCAGCGAACGGGUGAGUAACGCGUGGGGAAUCUGCCUUUGAGCGGGGGACAACAUUUGGAAACGAAUGCUAAUACCGCAUAAUAACUUUAAACAUAAGUUUUAAGUUUGAAAGAUGCAAUUGCAUCACUCAAAGAUGAUCCCGCGUUGUAUUAGCUAGUUGGUGAGGUAAAGGCUCACCAAGGCGAUGAUACAUAGCCGACCUGAGAGGGUGAUCGGCCACAUUGGGACUGAGACACGGCCCAAACUCCUACGGGAGGCAGCAGUAGGGAAUCUUCGGCAAUGGACGAAAGUCUGACCGAGCAACGCCGCGUGAGUGAAGAAGGUUUUCGGAUCGUAAAACUCUGUUGGUAGAGAAGAACGUUGGUGAGAGUGGAAAGCUCAUCAAGUGACGGUAACUACCCAGGAAGGGACGGCUAACUACGUG
Molecule: ribosomal RNA, 497 nt
Filed under: uncultured bacterium
Lineage: Bacteria
Description: partial 16S ribosomal RNA
Rfam family: Bacterial small subunit ribosomal RNA
Source: RNAcentral